GCUGGUGGCAAAUAGGAUAGGGGGGGUGGUGUUUGAGAAGCAGCUGUUCCCCAGUUAGGGCCCCUGUGUCCCACACAUGGGUCCUAGCAAGUUGCCUUAUGAGGUGGGAAAGAGUUUCUACAUAAGGGCACUCUCUCAGGGCUGUUGAACUGAUACCUGCCUAGUGAUGUGCUGACUGUUCAACACAGCUGAAACCUGUACUGGAUUUGGGGAAUAAAUCUGAGAUGUUUUACAUUCUUGCAGUGACCAAGGAUUAACCUGAAGUAAGUCCUGUUCGGAUAUGACUCCUCACAAAGUUCCCCUCUUUGACAGGGAGAUAAUCUGUUUCGACCUGCUUUCUAUGAAGACAAAGUCUGACUAAAGCAAAUACCUGAGCCUGAACAAGAGCUGGCAGCAGGAGAGGAGAGAGGAGCCAGAGAGAUGGGAGCAACAUUACCUCACCCGAUGCUGUGCAGAGUAGGCAUGGGACUCAUCUGGAGAGCAUCGCUGCUUGUGGGCAAGAUUUUGGCUUUUCUUGCUGAAAACGACAUGCCUUUAGU
Molecule: long non-coding RNA, 539 nt
Organism: Oxyura jamaicensis (ruddy duck)
Lineage: Eukaryota; Metazoa; Chordata; Aves; Anseriformes; Anatidae
Exons: 3
Source: RefSeq, a predicted model, not a curated record